RNAcentral lists this ribosomal RNA (292 nucleotides) under uncultured Verrucomicrobiota bacterium. RNAcentral describes it as "uncultured Verrucomicrobia bacterium partial 16S ribosomal RNA". The record is from RNAcentral. Lineage: Bacteria; Pseudomonadati; Verrucomicrobiota.
GGACUACUGGGGUUUCUAAUCCCGUUUGCUCCCCUGGCUUUCGUGCCUGAGCGUCAGGAACUGUCCAGAGACCCGCCUUCGCCACCGGUGUUCUGGUCGAUCUCUACGCAUUUCACCGCUACACCGACCAUUCCAGUCUCCUCUCCAGUCCUCUAGCCUGCCAGUUUCCAGUGACCUAUCACAGUUAGGCUGUGAGAUUUCACACCGGACUUAACAGACCGCCUGCGCACCCUUUACGCCCAAUGAAUCCGAACAACGCUUGCAGUCUCUGUAUUACCGCGGCUGCUGGCAC